This 138-nucleotide ribosomal RNA is filed under the name uncultured eukaryote. Its description in RNAcentral is "partial 18S ribosomal RNA". It matches the Rfam family "Eukaryotic small subunit ribosomal RNA", at positions 1299 to 1458 of the family's 1831-position model. The record is from RNAcentral.
UGGUGGAGUGAUUUGUCUGGUUAAUUCCGUUAACGAACGAGACCUCAGCCUGCUAACUAGUUGGACGAAUUUUUAAUUCGCACCAACUUCUUAGAGGGACUAUCGGUUCUGAGCCGAAGGAAGUUUGAGGCAAUAACA